CUGGCGUGCAACAAGGCUGAGGGUUGCCACCGGUGGCCCCUCUUGUGCUUCGGUUUGAGUGCCAUCGAGGGAGAGACAGAAGGGAAGGAAAAUCGAAACCUGCAGGUUCUCUCUCCUGCCCUGAAGUUUGAGCUCCCGGGACCCCUCUGUCCCAGUCCCAUUAACCAAGAGGCCGCAGAUCUAUAACAGGCUCUUACAGGGAGGACUGUUCUGCGGAGCGCUCCGAACGGACAAACCACAAUAAAAAGUUCACGUUCAUGGAUGGAAUCCACAUGACUUCUUGUGGCCAAUCCAACUUGAAGAGGACAACAUCCUUCCAGAUGGGGCAUCUGGGAAGCCCCCCAUUCCACCCCAGAUGGAAACGGGAGAGGCAGGCCACUGGAAGCCUCAUAACCAAGCCUGUCCUGGCCCUGGUCUGAAGAGCGGAGUGGGUUUAGACCGGUGCUGGGCAGUCCUGCGGAGGAAGCAGGAUGAAUGGGAAUGGGGGGCAGCCUCCAGAACCCCCAAAGCACCCCUCAUCUCCAGGUUCCUUUCUCAGAGAAAAUGACAUUUUCCCCCAAGACCAUCCCUAGUGUCAGGUCUCAAUUCCUAGGUUCAGAUGGCAGCCUACUCCUAAUCUGUUAAGAAUUAAAAAUAAAAUUAAGGGCCACGAUCUUGGUUCCCACUUCUU
Molecule: long non-coding RNA, 670 nt
Organism: Hippopotamus amphibius kiboko
Lineage: Eukaryota; Metazoa; Chordata; Mammalia; Artiodactyla; Hippopotamidae
Exons: 4
Source: RefSeq, a predicted model, not a curated record